ACAUAUUUCCAAUGCUUGUUUGUUACAGCAGUUUGCAAGGAGAAAAAAACCAUUGCCUGAUUAUUUCCAAGGCAGAAAUGAAACUGAAUUAACAAUAUCUGAUAAUAUAAAAAGUAAACUGCAAGUAAAUAGUUUGAACUUCAGGAAUAUUUGCAGUUGAUAAUGACAAUGUUGAACUGCUGAAAUGCUAUCCUAAUGACACAGUCACAAAAAAUGAGGAGGAAUAUUUGCUUCCAGCUAAUUGCUGAGCCUGUAUACUGUGUAACACCACAAAGCACAUUCUGAAUAAAUCAUCAUUUGAUCUUGAAGGUUAUGCAACAAAACUUUUCAAUAGCCUUUUCUCAUCAUCAAAAGAAUUUUGUGAUUACAGGAGAGAAUUCAUUUUUUCAGCUCUGAGAGCGUGGCAAAGCAGAGGUGUGCCCUGACAAGCCAGUUAUCUGUGUGCUUUGUCACUGGCAAUGACCUGGGCACGAUUCCCAGCUCAGACAUUUCCUCGUGUGCAAGGGCAGGGAUGGUGGGACUGGGCAGAGAAGCUGCCAGUGCUGGAAUCCCACUGGUGCUGCUGCCCAGCCCCUGCGCUGGCACACUCCAGGGGCUGGGCAGGGGGAAGCAGAGCAGCCUUUGGCAUCACCCUUAGCCCAGACCCAUUCACCCAGCAGAGCUCCACAGAGCUCCAAAGCCAACGAGGCAGGAGCAGCUCCUGUGCCCCUGCCCAGGGAGGCUCACGAGGCUGUGGGGCAGCAGCUCCUCCCUUCAGUGCCCACUGCACCCAGCCCCUGCUGCUGAGCCCUGCGUGUGCCACCUUGGAUCACUCCUGUGCACCACCAGCUCCUCAUCGUUUGCCCUUGGUGUUUUUCAGCACAAUCCAUCAUUUCAGCAUAAAUGCUGUCUCACCUGGCCUUGCAGCUCUCUUGGUACCAUACAAAGCAGGUGUCCAGGGCAAAGGCUCCCCUCUCCUGGGGCCAGCACCUGCAUCCUCCCCUGCCAAGAUGAGCCUCUUGGCUCUAUACAUGACUCAGCUUUCCUCACAAUGCACCAUACAUAUUUUUUCACAAGGAUGGUUAAAAAUAUCACAAUUUGAUCUUCCUUAUGCAAAAGACUGUGACAUCUAAGGGAGAAAUUAGAAAAAAGCAGGCAAACUGGGCUCUUACUAAAACUGGACAGCAGCAGAGCACAGCACUCUGCCAGGGGCCUCCUCCACAGCAUCAUGCCAGUCCCAGGGAGCUUCUGCAAGCAAAAUGAAUGAGCUCAGCUGCUCUCCCCGCUUCUGGAAUUUGGAGAAAUUAGCAUGCACCUUACUGUGUCUUCCAGUCUGAGCCCAGAUGGUGUGUAGGAAGAACUCUGAGAGCUUGGUGCAUGCCCAUGUCAUGGGCAGUGUGCUCUGGGCAGGCUGGUGGCAGUGCUGGGACCCCAGGGUGUCACUAACAUCCCGGUGCCCCCCCACAGCUGACAGCCACAGAGGGUGUCUGCAGUGUGGGCCCCACAGGACAAAUGCCUUCCCUGGGCCGUGUGGGUCAGCCACAAGCAUCCCCUCCUUCAGCCCAGCCCUGCUGCUGGCCACAGCACUGAUUUAGCUCUGGGCAGGUCCACCCUGCUCUGGCAGUACCAGAAGGUUGCUAUUCUACAAGUAGCUAUAAAGGGCUUGAGCACUAGGACAGUAUCAAUUGUGGUUUUCUGACAAUGGUUCCACAAAAAGCAAAGUUAUUUUGAGAAGGGUAAAUGCAGCCCAGACCAUUAUAUUUAAUUCAUGUCCACCCACAGCCCUCCUGCUCUGCUGAGCACGGUGGCACUUCAGACUCCAUGUCCUGCCCUAGAUAUGACUCUGGGGACAGGGCAAUUUCGCUUUCUAGUGUUGCUGCUCCUCCAGGAGGAAUUCUGGCUGCAGGAAGUUUCCCCCACACAUGCUCUGCCACCCUCCCAUGCCACUCUGGGCACCCAUGUGCAGCUACCUGUUGCUGCUACAGGCAGUCUCCAGCAUCCUGCACCACAUCCUUCCCAGCCUGUGCAGGGUGCUCUGGGUUCCUGCUGAGCUGCCCAAACCACCAGAGCAGGAUGGGCAUCACUCCCCAGUGAGGGAUGGGGAAGUGACACUGGGAGAAAGACCCACAUCACCUCUGGACACUGGUUCCAGGUCAGCCUCCUGUACCCUCUAGUCUGGGACUUUUGGGAUUAGAAACUGAAAGGACAGACAGAAAAUCUUGAAAUACUUCUAGGCCCCAUGUUGGACAGUGUUUUCUCAGCCUCUGCUUCUUUUUCACUCCUAGAAUCAGGACAAUGUGGUCCCUUUGCAGUGAGGCUUGGCUGAGCACGGACUGCAGAAACUCCUGGGCAAGGAGGAGCUGCAAACAGCAGUAACUUCAUACUGGAGACCAGAGAGUCAUUUUUCAGGAUUUGUACAUGAUGCUACCAGCCCAAAUCCACCUGACACAUUUAUUCAUUAAAAAUCUGGUACUGUGUUUUUAUGACAAAUGUAUGACUGCCUUGACACUCAGUAGUCAGUCUAGCAUUAUUUAAAAUCUUCCCUUAUUAUGAUUAUCUGAUAAUGCAGCCUAUUAUACACAGCUCUUCAGGGAAGGAGAGG
This is a long non-coding RNA of Taeniopygia guttata (zebra finch), 2581 nucleotides long. Lineage: Eukaryota; Metazoa; Chordata; Aves; Passeriformes; Estrildidae. The record is from Ensembl.